Molecule: ribosomal RNA, 544 nt
Filed under: Metarhizium anisopliae
Lineage: Eukaryota; Fungi; Ascomycota; Sordariomycetes; Hypocreales; Clavicipitaceae
Description: eukaryotic LSU rRNA
Rfam family: 5.8S ribosomal RNA (bases 164-317)
Source: RNAcentral
GAACCUGCGGAGGGAACAGUAGCCACGAGUUAUCCAACUCCCAACCCCUGUGAAUUAUACCUUUAAUUGUUGCUUCGGCGGGACUUCGCGCCCGCCGGGGACCCAAACCUUCUGAAUUUUUUAAUAAGUAUCUUCUGAGUGGUUUAAAAAAAAAAUGAAUCAAAACUUUCAACAACGGAUCUCUUGGUUCUGGCAUCGAUGAAGAACGCAGCGAAAUGCGAUAAGUAAUGUGAAUUGCAAAAUUCAGUGAAUCAUCGAAUCUUUGAACGCACAUUGCGCCCGUCAGUAUUCUGGCGGGCAUGCCUGUUCGAGCGUCAUUACGCCCCUCAAGUCCCCUGUGGACUUGGUGUUGGGGAUCGGCGAGGCUGGUUUUCCAGCACAGCCGUCCCUUAAAUUAAUUGGCGGUCUCGCCGUGGCCCUCCUCUGCGCAGUAGUAAAGCACUCGCAACAGGAGCCCGGCGCGGUCCACUGCCGUAAAACCCCCCAACUUUUUAUAGUUGACCUCGAUAUCAAGGGUAGGACUACCCACAAAAAUUAAGCAUAU